This 194-nucleotide ribosomal RNA is filed under the name uncultured gamma proteobacterium WkA10. Its description in RNAcentral is "partial 16S ribosomal RNA". It matches the Rfam family "Bacterial small subunit ribosomal RNA", at positions 338 to 524 of the family's 1533-position model. Lineage: Bacteria; Pseudomonadati; Pseudomonadota; Gammaproteobacteria. The record is from RNAcentral.
CCUACGGGAGGCAGCAGUGGGGAAUAUUGGACAAUGGGCGCAAGCCUGAUCCAGCAAUGCCGCGUGUGUGAAGAAGGCCUUCGGGUUGUAAAGCACUUUUAUCAGGAGCGAAAUACUACCGGUUAAUAACCGGUGGGGCUGACGGUACCUGAGGAAUAAGCACCGGCUAACUUCAUGCCAGCAGCCGCGGUAAU